Molecule: ribosomal RNA, 279 nt
Filed under: uncultured bacterium
Lineage: Bacteria
Description: partial 16S ribosomal RNA
Rfam family: Bacterial small subunit ribosomal RNA
Source: RNAcentral
UGCCAGCAGCCGCGGUAAUACAUAGGGGUCAAGCGUUGUCCGGAUUUAUUAGGUUUAAAGGGUUCGCAGGCGGAAUUUUAAGUCAGUGGUGAAAUCCUACAGCUCAACUGUAGAACUGCCAUUGAUACUGAAAUUCUUGAGUAUAGAUGAAGUGGGCGGAAUAUGUCAUGUAGCGGUGAAAUGCAUAGAUAUGACAUGGAACACCAAUUGCGAAGGCAGCUCACUAAACUAUUACUGACGCUCAUGAACGAAAGCGUGGGGAGCGAACAGGAUUAGAUA